UCUCUUCCCCCCCCCCCCCCCUCUCUUAAUCAACCACAUAAAAGAAAUACAUAAACAAAAGCAAACCCUAAAGAUUAAGAAAAGUUUUGAUUUUUAAGUUUUUUUUAAUACGAGUCUUUCAAACUCCCAUCUUGAAAUGGCAGAGAUACGCCCACCUGAGACCCAUCCAAACAACGGCGGCGGCGGCGGUAGCAGCGGAGGUGGAGGAGGGGCACUAACAUCAUCGGAAACUGUGGGGUCAAAGAGGCAGCGGAGGCCAAGUGUCCGAUUAGGCGAGAUAGGCGGUGGAGACCAGCUUUAUGAAUCCCAGCACCACCGUAGAACUGCCAGCAACAGUAACAAGCAAUGGAAACAACAACAACAACAACAACAGAGUUUGGGUUUUAAAGAGGCAAGUAAAUCAUCAAAGACUCGAGCUUUAACGAAUUUAAGUGAGUUUAAUGAAAUCCUUGAUGGGGAUAAUGAUAUUAAUUUGGAUAGUGUUGCAAUUGGGAGUUGGAGAGUUAAUCAUUCUUCGAAAAAGAGAGGGUCUUUGAAUGUUAGUGCAAAGCGAGUUAGGUCUAACUGGGUGUCUAAAUUUGAUGAUAGUAGUGGUGGUCGUGGUAAUGGUGGUGAAGGGGAGGAGAAAUACAGUGGUGGUGAAGACGACGACGACGACGACGAGGAGGAGGAGGAGGAGGAGGAGGAGGAGGAUUGUAGAGAAUUUGAUGUUGAGAAUUCAGAGACUUUGUUGAAAGAACAAAGCCGAAUUCGUGAUCCACUUGAUAAUUUGGAAGAUGGGAAUGAGAGGAAUGGGAGGGAAGUGCAUUGCUAUAGGAGGGUAAUUAGGGGGAGGAAUGAUCGUAAUGUUAAUCAUGAUUAUCGUCAUGACGGUGUUGAUUUAUCAGGUCCAUCUGAUAAUGAUAUGAGAGAUUAUAGGAAUAUUGGGAGGUGUGGUGGUGGAGGGGAGGACGGAGUGAGGAUUUGGCUGAAUAGUUUAGGGUUAGGGAGAUACGCACCAGUUUUUGAGAUUCAUGAGGUGGAUGAUGAGGUUUUGCCAAAGUUGACAUUGGAGGAUUUGAAGGAUAUGGGGAUCAAUGCUGUUGGGUCUAGAAGGAAGAUGUUUUGUGCGAUUCAGAAGCUAGGAAAGGGGUUUUCUUGAUGUUUUUUGGUGAGCUUGUAGAGGUUUUUUUAAAUGGAUAACUUUUCUCAGCCAUGAGUCCAGAACUGGUUGCCAGUCCUCAACACUAGAAGAUUGACUUUCUAUUGAGCUCAGAGUUAGUGGUUUUUAGAAAUUGUCAGCAGGAAGUGCAACCUAUCUAAUGAGGUGUGGUCUGGGUUUCAACUUUUAAGGUCCACUGAGGUUGCCAGAAGUUCUAGCUACCUUUUUGUGGUGUAUAGCAGUGCAGUUUUUAACACGCUAAGGUACUCUAAAGUUGUAUGUGGAAUACUUUGCGAACUGCGACUAGGAAAAGUAAGUCAUUGCAUGAAUGAGGACUCAACUUGUGGAGUGGGUUCUGAAAGAGACAGAGGUUACAUUCGAGAAGAGUAUAUGUAGUUCAUAUUUUUGGAGAAUAGGGUUACUGGAUUGGUGAUCCAAUGCAUAGUGCCUUUAUUCAGAGCAUGUUGGUUACUUAAGAGGAAAUAUUAAGCCGAUUACAAAGAUUCAGAGAAGACCAGUUAAGUAACUCAGGUUAGGAUUUUCUUGAUCAAGAAUCGAUGUAGAGGUCUCAAGCUAACUGAACAGUGGUGAAGGGAUGCAUCCCUUUGGUGUCUGUUUCUCAGUAAAGGCGUACCGGUGAAAUUUGUUUUAGCAAGAGCUAUGCUAGAUGCACUCAAUUCUAAGCUAAUGCUAGCUAUACAUGUACCCUUCUUUUGUGGAAUAAAUUGAAUGAUAUACAGAUGUAUGCCAAAACCUAUCAUUUUAUGAUUAUUUUUGACGUUGGGUAAGGGGAUAGAGUAUCAUUGUUGUUGGUUGAUGGAGAGAAAUCUUGGAGCAUUCUAAAGGCUGCAUUACAUGUCUCUUCAUGAAUAAUAAUGUUUCUUUUCCAUUGUUCCUCCUUUUGUGCAUUUAGCUAAGCCCUCUUGUUAGAAUUGAUAUAUAUACCUUGUAUAAGCUAAGCAAGUCUUUGCAAAUUUGCAGGCCAAUUGAUAUAGCUUUGAUCAUAAGUUAAUGUUUGUAGACCAAUUUUUAUGAGAGUAGUCAUGUCCAAUUGGCAUUUUAGGUUUGGGGUCUGCUGGCUUUUAGGUUUCAUUGGCAGAGGACGUGCUUGAAACUUGAAUGCUGGCCUUCAGAGUACAAAUUUCUAGCGUAUUUCUGAGCUGUAGAAGUUCUCUAGAAGUUCGCACAGUUCUUUUUCUUCCAUGCUAUAAAUACCCUCUACAGUGACAAUCACCUUCUUAGGGUUGCCCUCUGCAAUUUGCUGUAUCAGAAAUCAUACUUUGCUCCAUUGUUUAAGAAUCUGUUGGUGUAGAAGAGUGAGCAAAAAAAUAGUUGAAUUAUUUAUGGCAUGGGAUGUUUUAGAAAACUGGAGGAACCUGUCAUUUCUAUUAACUAUACAUAUAGAUAGCUCCACUUUUAAACUCAUCAGCGGUCAUUAAAACAGUUUGAUGAAGUUGAUUUUCAUUAAUUCUCAAUUCUGAAACCGUGAUGUGAAGAAUCCUGAUUUGGUGAUCAUUGAAUUGAUGCAGGAUUGACUAUUCUCCAAUUGCCUUAUUACCUAACCCUAAGUGUUUAAAAUAAUUCCAUGUAAUGUAAGAGCCUCCUUACGAUCAAAGGCCAUCGCAAGGAACAGUUGAACCUCCAAGUUUGACCUAGUCCAAGCCUCCCUUUUUUCUAUCUGCCUUCUUCCUGGAGGCUUCUGACCACGAAGUCAAUUCUAUGUAGAGUUGUCGUCAUGACUUGCAAUACAGGACAAAAAUUGAUUUUUUUUUAAAUUUCUUUUUCGAUCAGUUUUUCUAUUGUUCACAUUUAAUUUCUUGGAAGUUUAAUGUGUAGAUUUGUGAGACGUAGCAAUUAAAAUCAUUCAAUAUUUCUGGAGUGCAAAUCUUAGAUGAGUCCUCUGACUGUAUAUAGCUCCUUGAUGAGUCCUUGAACUACUGAUUUUAUCGAUUGGAUCCCCCUAUCUAGAUUUUUCUUUUCUUACAAUUGGAUCUUUCUGCUAUAAUAAUUAGAGACUGUGUUAGAUAUUGCGCAUUCUACCUGAUUGUUUUCUUACGAAUUCUAAUGGUCCCAGAAUUUAUGCAUGAAAAUAUAUAAUAUUUCUCCCUAUUAGCAAAUGUAAAGCAUAUCCAAUUAUUCCAUUAAUCUAACUGUUCUUGCACGUGUUUGGAGGAGUGAAAAGAUAAGGUAUUUUCAUGUUCAAGUCUUGUGGGAAUCACGAGGGCUAAUGAGAAAACACAUGAAUAGCCCAUGCACCAUUCAAUGUCAUCUUCGAUUUGGAGACCCAAUUGGUAAAAUCAAAAGUUGGAGGACUAAUCCGAGGUUUGCCCACUUCAAAAUUCAAUCCCGGUGACCAUGGAUGAAGAACACUAGACCCCAGAAAAGUGGAUUCAUUCAAAACGCGAUAAAGCCCUCCACGUAUUCACAUAAUUAUAAUUUUUAACACAAGAAGUCAGACAAUGUAUUUGGUUUCGGAGAAAAUAACACCAACAAAUCCAAGAAGUCGAUGUUGCUGUUGCCGGCUUCCUUCCUGCCUCCUUUACCAAUCGGGCGUUCAUUCCUCUAGAAACUUGGAAACUUCCUCCUCUUUAAUUGACCAUCGUCGCACCUCUCCUCUGCUACUUAAAAACCCCCUCUCAAUUUCUUCCAAUCAAAACCAAAAACCUCUCUUUGUCGGCAAAUUCUCUUUCUCGAGAACUCAAAACCAAACAAUCAUGACAAAAUCACGGCAACAUCAUCAUCGUUUCAUAAUUCGCACAAUUCUUCUUCUACUCUCACUUAACUCAGUUCCUUCAAUCUCUGCUCACUUUUUCCCUAACUUCACUUCAAUCCCAGAAGAGUUGCUCAAGAACGCCACCGGUAAUCCGUGGGAUUUCUUCCAACAACUAGCCGGCUGCCACGCAGGUAAAAAAUACGACGGCUUAGCCAAGCUCAAACACUACUUCCAAUACUUCGGCUACAUCCCCAAUUCCCUCUCCAAUUUCACCGAUGAUUUCGACGACUACCUUGAAUCUGCUCUCCGAACUUACCAACAAAACUUCAACCUUAACGUCACUGGCGAACUCGACGACCAAACAGUGAACCACGUCGUGCGGCCCAGAUGCGGCAAUCCGGAUAUAAUCAACGGCUCUACGAGUAUGAACUCUGGCAAGACCAAUAAUACCUCGUCAAGCCAUCACUUACACACGGUCUCUCAUUACAGCUUCUUCACUGGCCAGCCUCGUUGGAGAAAACAAGCCUUAACCUACGUGUUCUCGCCGGAAAAUCAACUAUCCGACGAGGUCAAGGCCGUUUUCUCCCGCGCUUUUGACCGUUGGUCAACGGUGAUUCCAUUGAAUUUCUCACAGACGGAUUCUAUCUACACAGCUGAUAUCCGGAUUGCGUUUUUCAGUGGCGAUCAUGGAGAUGGAGAGCCGUUUGAUGGGGUCUUGGGGACACUUGCACAUGCUUUUUCUCCCCAAAACGGGCGACUCCAUCUUGACGACGACGAGCAUUGGGUUGUGACAGAUGAUGUCAGGACAUCAACGUUGACGUCAGCUGUUGAUUUGGAGUCCGUGGCAGUGCAUGAGAUUGGACAUUUGUUAGGUUUAGGGCAUUCCUCUGUGGAAGAGUCUAUCAUGUACCCUAGUAUUUCUUCAAGGACAAGGAAAGUUGAAUUGGCCACCGAUGACAUUGAAGGGAUCCAAACGCUGUAUGGUAGCAAUCCUAAUUUUAAUGGUUCAUCUGCACAGUCCGUUCAGGAAGAGACUGGUAGCGGUAGCGGUGCCGCCCAUUGUGUCCACUCGAGGUGGGGUCUAACUGGGUUAAUCAUGGCCUUGUGCUUUACUUUCCUUCUUUUGUAGAUUAGACUUUAGAUUAAUUAGGUUACAUAACAUGAAUUUCAUUUUUUAUUUUUAAUUAUUUGGUGGAUUUCAAAAAGGAGCUGUCAUUGGCUCUUUAUAUUUGUAGUUAUUACCAAUUUACCAUUACACUUGGUAUAUUAAUUCACGGAAUACUGUAUUUAUUAUUUAUAUAUCAUUUCUUGCUUUGGAAAUUUCUAUAAUAUAAAUAAACUAUGAGACUAUUUGAUAAUACAAUUAAA
RNA transcript from Populus trichocarpa (black cottonwood), 5222 nucleotides. RefSeq lists it as uncharacterized. Lineage: Eukaryota; Viridiplantae; Streptophyta; Magnoliopsida; Malpighiales; Salicaceae. The transcript has 3 exons. The record is from RefSeq and is a predicted model, not a curated record.